CCCUUUCCUACGAGGAGUGCACAAACGCACAAGCAACUUAGCUACACAUUGAUCCACAGAGCACUCGUCCCCUGCCGCUAAAUCGUUUUUUUUCUUGUUUGUUUUCGAGCUCCGUGCCUUCGGGACAGCCACAGUUGGGGCCGUGAAGGUGUUCUGCAGUUGAACCACCGGCAUCCCCCCUCUUGUCUUCUUGUGCAGUGACUGCGACGCUUCAUACCCUUCACUCCGCUCACACCACACAUAGCCUCCCCCCCUCCCCCACCUUUCCGACUUACCUGCUUCAGAGAUGCUGGAGAUUACGAGCCUUGGCCAGUUGCUAUUGCAUGUACAGCGCAGCGAUGUAGUGACGGUGAUCGACUUCUACGCCGACUGGUGCGGGCCGUGCCAGCAGAUCAAGCCGCAAUUCGAGCAGAUGGCGCGCUACUACGACCCCAGCAAGGUCAUCUUUGCCAAGUGCAACGUCGACCGUAACCGCGAUUGCGCCAGCCGCUACGGCGUCUCCACCAUACCCACCUUCAUCGUCUUCUACGCCAAUGAGCGUGUUGCAACCGUGACAGGUGGCGACCUUGGUAUGGUGCAGCGCAGCAUCGAUCUCGCCGUGGCCCAAAUCCCGGAGACUGCGGCGCCCUCGUCUGCCGGCCAGACGGCAGCGAGGCGUGAUUCGGUGCAGGAGACGCAGGACGCCUUUGCGGAGCAGAUGCUGCGCAUUGUGGAGGCCAAGAGUACCAAGAACCAAAUCCUCGAGAAAGAUAGCUGCGACGCUGCGUACGCGCUACUCAAGGCCAAGACCCCCUACGGCCUGCUGCUGCUGCCCUACCUCGCCUCUGACGCCUUCUCCGCCGUGGCCAUCGACGCCCUCUUCUCCAACAUUGCUUCUCGCGCUGGCGCUGAGCGGCACGAAGAGGGUUAUCUCAUCAACCAGGUCCUAUCCCACCUCAUGCAACUCUCCACCCAUCUCUCCUGGGGGGACAUGAGCGUUGUGAAGCAGCUGCACCGCGUGCUCCUGUCGCUGCUCGCCUGCCCACGGAUGCAGACAGCGCUGAUGACGAGUCCGUUCUUUACCAAUAUGUUCAUCACAACCGGCACGCAGCUCGAGCACACCACGCUCUUGGGCGUUCUCUUUGGCCUGGGACCAAAGCCUAUGGCAGCGGCGCGCGCGCCGCACGGGGACUGGCUCGCGAUGCUAGAGGUGUUCUCUCCUCAAAAGCAGGAUGAGCAUCAGCAGACAGUCUACACAAUACAGCAGGAGAUGAGUACGCUUGCGAAGAUGAACGUGCGACUGGUGCAGAGCCUGCUCCAUGUAAAGACGGCUCGCGACGCAACACUGCGGUACCUUGGCAGAGCCCUACAGCUGAACGAGGAUUACCUGAAGACGAUGCAUCACGACAGCCCCAUCAGCUCUCGCUACUUUAUGAUCCAGCUUCAGUCGGUUCUCAUUGAGCUCGCACUGCCUAUCUUCCAGGCGCGCGCGAACAAGGAAGACACGAGCAGCAGUGGCGGUUACGACUACCGCCAGAUCCCAGCCCACUACCUGCUGGAUCGCCUGUACGGCCCAAACGGCGUCGUCGUUUCCUUUGGCAGCGACGUCGAGCGGGUGGCGCACUUCGGCGACGACAACCCGCUGCCCCGCGCGCCGUCGAGCCGCGACCCCUACAAACCUUUCAUCCAUCUCUUCUUCCUCGCGGCCCGUGCUGUCACGCUGUGCGCGGCCGUCUUCAUUGACGAGCAUGACCGCGACGAGCGCCAGGCGACUCAUCCUCAGGCGUCACGGCAGCAGCGCGACUUCUUCACCGCGGAGAAGCUCCUGCUUGAGGGCCUGCUCGGGUCGACUGAGCUUAGUGCGAGCCGACUCGAGUUCCUCAAUCACCUCGCACACUGGCUCCUGAUGGUGAUGCAAGUGGAUGACCAGGGUGUCCUGCCGGCUCAACCGCCAGCGGAAUGGGGCUACCUCCCGCAGUGCCUCGUCGACUGCGUGAUUCGCGCCACGAGUAUGGCGCCGUUGGACGGCCUUUACUCCGACGGCAUGAUCUCCCUCAUGCUGGUGCUCAUGGGCAACACCAAGUACUUUCCUAAGCCCCACACGCACGCCCUCUUCCCGGCCUACCUUCUGCGGCUGCAGGAGAACUACGCGACACGCAAGGUGCUCGAGCAGCAUCCGUGGUUCAGCACCCACAUUGUGCGCGCCUGCAUGGAGUGCUACAUCGCUGUCGAGAAGUCCACAUACGAGCGAGUCGAAGUGCGCUACGAGCUCUCGUAUGCCAUCAAAACGUUCCUCAAAUCGAACCUGCUGUGCGAGCCGGUGCGCGAGGAGAUGGAGUCGCAGGCGAACAACACCAUGCUCGAGCGCUUCUCGCACAUGGCGGUGGCGGAGGUGAAUGAGGCAGUCGAUCAGGUGAUCGACACCCUCACAAGGAUGAACGAGAUGGUAAAGGCCGGCGCGGAUUUGUCAGAGAACGCCGUCGCGUCAGACAGCCCGCAGAACGCCGCCGACGGCUCGAACGGGGAGCAACAGCAGCGGCAGACGCGCCGUCAGCGAAGCAACGCGAGUCGCAACGAGGAUGUCGACGCCGGCGAGGACGGCGGCGAGGGGGACGAGGAGGAGAAUGCUGACGGGUCGCAGACGUAUCACGAGCGUGGCAUGAGCCUCCGCUCCCACCUGAUGCUCUUUACCGCCUCGAUGGACAUGUUCAUCGAGCUGUCUUUGCAGUUCCCCAAGGGCGUCUCGCAGAACAUGGUGGCUGGGCAGAUCAGCGAGAUGCUUGCCCGCAGCCUGAUGGCGUUCGCCGGCCCAAACAGCCGGAGCCUGAAGAUCCAGAACGCCGACCUCUACAACUUCCGCCCCCGCGAGGUCCUGAUGCGUCUCGUCGACUGCUUCACGCACUUCCGGCGCUCCAAGAACUUUCUCCGCUGCCUGUGCCACUGCAGCAUUCCGCUGUCUGACAUUCGCAGCGUCAUGCGCACCAUCGUGGACCGCCAGCUCGUCUCGGAGGAUCUCAUCUGGAAGGUGUCUGAGAUGGCGGCGGCGGUGACGUCUGUGUCCAAGGAGGUGGACAACGAGGAGGCCGUCUGGGACGACGCGCCGGACUACGCCUUGGAUGCGUUGCUCUCCACCCCGCUCCUCCAGCCUGUUGCGCUGCCGGCGGACGUGAAGGACCUGAAUGACCUGGUGUACGUCAACCAGGAGACGCUGCACCACCUCCUCCUGUCCGAGAGCAAGCACCCUUUCACGAACGAGCCGCUGACGGAGGACAAGGUGGCGGCUUUUAACAAGCGCCCUGACGUGGCGGCCGCUGUGGAGGGGCGACGGGCUGCUAUCCAGAAAUGGCUGGAGGACGUCAAGGCUGCCCAGGUGUAGACUUUCAGCGGGACAGUUGCGCACACGCCGGCAGAGAAGCGGGCGGAGCGAGUGAAGGCGCAGCGCAUCGGUGCAUCUUUUGUAUGGGGCCGUUAGGGAAGGGGGAGGGGGCCGCGUCAUAUGUCAUCGACUGAGCCCUCCCCCGCCCCCCUUGCUCCACCACUUCCGCUUCUCACCUCCCUCUCCUGCGCUCUCACUAUUCUUCUUUCGUGUCGUGUUUUUGCGAUGGGCGUUUUUGUGCGCGCCGACUGCCGUUCCUGUAG
Molecule: unclassified non-coding RNA, 3618 nt
Filed under: Leishmania donovani
Lineage: Eukaryota; Euglenozoa; Kinetoplastea; Trypanosomatida; Trypanosomatidae
Description: gene:LdHU3.30.1390(CDS-product:ubiquitin_conjugat ion_factor_E4_B_putative)
Source: RNAcentral